This 497-nucleotide ribosomal RNA is filed under the name uncultured bacterium. RNAcentral's name for it is "partial 16S ribosomal RNA". It matches the Rfam family "Bacterial small subunit ribosomal RNA", at positions 28 to 507 of the family's 1533-position model. The record is from RNAcentral.
GAUGAACGCUGGCGGCGUGCCUAAUACAUGCAAGUCGAGCGAACAGACGAGGAGCUUGCUCCUCUGAUGUUAGCGGCGGACGGGUGAGUAACACGUGGAUAACCUACCUAUAAGACUGGGAUAACUUCGGGAAACCGGAGCUAAUACCGGAUAACAUGUUGAACCGCAUGGUUCAACAGUGAAAGACGGUCUUGCUGUCACUUAUAGAUGGAUCCGCGCCGCAUUAGCUAGUUGGUAAGGUAACGGCUUACCAAGGCAACGAUGCGUAGCCGACCUGAGAGGGUGAUCGGCCACACUGGAACUGAGACACGGUCCAGACUCCUACGGGAGGCGGCAGUAGGGAAUCUUCCGCAAUGGGCGAAAGCCUGACGGAGCAACGCCGCGUGAGUGAAGAAGGUCUUCGGAUCGUAAAACUCUGUUAUUAGGGAAGAACAAAUGUGUAAGUAACUAUGCACGUCUUGACGGUACCUAAUCAGAAAGCCACGGCUAACUACGCG